RNAcentral lists this ribosomal RNA (253 nucleotides) under uncultured prokaryote. RNAcentral describes it as "partial 16S ribosomal RNA". It matches the Rfam family "Bacterial small subunit ribosomal RNA", at positions 524 to 776 of the family's 1533-position model. The record is from RNAcentral.
UACGGAGGGUGCAAGCGUUGUUCGGAAUUACUGGGCGUAAAGGGCGUGUAGGCGGCAUGGUAAGUCAGAUGUGAAAGCCCUGGGCUUAACCCAGGAAGUGCAUUUGAUACUGCUAUUCUUGAGUAUGGGAGAGGAGAGUGGAAUUCCCAGUGUAGAGGUGAAAUUCGUAGAUAUUGGGAGGAACAUCCGUGGCGAAGGCGACUCUCUGGACCAAUACUGACGCUGAGACGCGAAAGCGUGGGGAGCAAACAGG